GUCUACGGCCACACCACCCUGAACGCGCCCUGUCUCCUCUGAUCUCGGAAGCUAAGCAGGGUCGAGUCUGGUUAGUAGUUGGAUGGGAGACAAAGAAGGCAUCCCUGGGGCACCUGAUC
Molecule: ribosomal RNA, 119 nt
Filed under: Jaculus jaculus (lesser Egyptian jerboa)
Lineage: Eukaryota; Metazoa; Chordata; Mammalia; Rodentia; Dipodidae
Source: RNAcentral